This 375-nucleotide unclassified non-coding RNA is filed under the name Acacia mucronata (variable sallow wattle). RNAcentral describes it as "partial external transcribed spacer". The record is from RNAcentral. Lineage: Eukaryota; Viridiplantae; Streptophyta; Magnoliopsida; Fabales; Fabaceae.
GCCGGCUGGCUCCGUGCCCGUCCACCGAACGGUCGGCAGGCGAUCCGCGUCGGUCGCGCGAGGUGGUAUGGUUCCCCAGAGGCCGGUUCUUGUGCUGCCUACCCCUUCAGGGGAAGCGGGCCACUUGAUGUAAGCCUCCAUCCGGCGCCCUCCAACGGGCGCAGGAGGACAACAGAGCACACCCCGCGUACCACCGAGCCUUCGUCGGUCGCGUGGCGCGCGGGGACGUGCGAUGCUCUCGGACCCAGCGAACGCCGUGGGCGAGGACUCACGUCCCAGUCCCGAUAGAAGCUUCGAUAUAAUGCAUGACGGCCGCUCCCGCCCCCCGACCGCCCCGGCGGCGCGUGGGCGAGGCGCGGCGUCGCGGAGGAAUGC